This 496-nucleotide ribosomal RNA is filed under the name uncultured bacterium. RNAcentral describes it as "partial 16S ribosomal RNA". It matches the Rfam family "Bacterial small subunit ribosomal RNA", at positions 28 to 506 of the family's 1533-position model. The record is from RNAcentral.
GAUGAACGCUGGCGGCGUGCCUAAUACAUGCAAGUCGAGCGAACGGACGAGAAGCUUGCUUUUCUGAUGUUAGCGGCGGACGGGUGAGUAACACGUGGAUAACCUACCUAUAAGACUGGGAUAACUUCGGGAAACCGGAGCUAAUACCGGAUAAUAUUUUGAACCGCAUGGUUCAAAGGUGAAAGACGGUCUUGCUGUCACUUAUAGAUGGAUCCGCGCUGCAUUAGCUAGUUGGUAAGGUAACGGCUUACCAAGGCAACGAUGCAUAGCCGACCUGAGAGGGUGAUCGGCCACACUGGAACUGAGACACGGUCCAGACUCCUACGGGAGGCAGCAGUAGGGAAUCUUCCGCAAUGGGCGAAAGCCUGACGGAGCAACGCCGCGUGAGUGAUGAAGGUCUUCGGAUCGUAAAACUCUGUUAUUAGGGAAGAACAUAUGUGUAAGUAACUGUGCACAUCUUGACGGUACCUAAGCAGAAAGCCACGGCUAACUACGU